RNAcentral lists this ribosomal RNA (497 nucleotides) under uncultured bacterium. RNAcentral's name for it is "partial 16S ribosomal RNA". It matches the Rfam family "Bacterial small subunit ribosomal RNA", at positions 28 to 507 of the family's 1533-position model. The record is from RNAcentral.
GAUGAACGCUGGCGGCGUGCCUAAUACAUGCAAGUCGAGCGAACGGACGAGAAGCUUGCUUCUCUGAUGUUAGCGGCGGACGGGUGAGUAACACGUGGAUAACCUACCUAUAAGACUGGGAUAACUUCGGGAAACCGGAGCUAAUACCGGAUAAUAUUUUGAACCGCAUGGUUCAAAAGUAAAAGACGGUCUUGCUGUCACUUAUAGAUGGAUCCGCGCUGCAUUAGCUAGUUGGUAAGGUAACGGCUUACCAAGGCAACGAUGCAUAGCCGACCUGAGAGGGUGAUCGGCCACACUGGAACUGAGACACGGUCCAGACUACUACGGGAGGCAGCAGUAGGGAAUCUUCCGCAAUGGGCGAAAGCCUGACGGAGCAACGCCGCGUGAGUGAUGAAGGUCUUCGGAUCGUAAAACUCUGUUUUUAGGGAAGAACAUAUGUGUAAGUAACUGUGCACAUCUUGACGGUACCUAAUCAGAAAGCCACGGCUAACUACGUG